UUUUUUUGUGUAACGUGAUACUUUGUUUUCACUGGAGGAGAUAAGGGUUGGACUUGAGUUGAAUUAAUAUGGGGCACAACAGAAGCGUCUGACCCAUUUGAGAUUCUUAGGGGAGGUGUACAACUACGAGCACAUAGAUUCGUCUGUGAUAUUCGAGACGCUUUACUUAACUCUUUCGUAUGGUCAUGGUACUUCAGAGCAAGAGGUACUGGAUCCGCCCGAAGAUUUUUUCCGUGUCAGGAUGGUUAUCAUUCUUCUGGAAAAUGUGGACACUAUUUUGAUCGAGGUUCUUCAAGCUCUCAUGGAUCGAGAUUGUACCUGAGAGGCAAGGGAGUGUCUGAGAGUAAUAGAUAGCAAGAGAGGAGAGAAUGAACGGUGGUAACGAGGUGGGAGCUUCAUCCCUAUUGGAUUAGAGACUAUAUAUCUCAGGUAUCUGGUGAUGACGAAGUAGAUUCCGCAAGGACUGCAGUUGAGAAAUAUGUUACCAAGAACAGCGUGAGUUAAUCCAAAAAUAUUGGCACGAAAAGGCAUAAAGCUCUUGCAACUUUCCAACAAAGAUACAUGUGGCAUCGGUGAUGCUGAUUAUCACCAGGAGACAAGCUUCUUCUCAGAGUUAGGGGAGCUCCACUUGCUCCUGUUCAUGUCUCCUCCUCUGAUCCUUUGCCUCGCCUUAGUAUCAAAAGCACACCAAUCAUUAGUCUCUCUCUCUCACUCUCUACAAAGAUUACACCUUUUUCAAUUUUUGUUGUUGGAAAGUGACGUCUGUUUAACGUUCUUGCAGGAGACAUCGUCUGUGCAGUAUAUACUUCAACAGUACACUGCUGCUUUCGGUGGACUGAAGCUUCAAAACUAUCAAAAAAUGCUUAUGCUAUGGGGAAGCUCAAGAUGAUCACUUCUGAGCUUUAGACCGGAACCCGUCCAAGGCUGCGAGUGGAGGUAUCGUUCUGUGGCAGAUGAAUCCAGACAUAGAUAUUAACAGUUUUGCAAUGCUCUCUUCUUCUAUUUGGAUCAUUUGAUUUGAUGUUUUUCCUUAUGCGUGUUGAGAGUCCUUUUUGAUUUCUUUAGGUUAUCCUGUUUAUUGUGGGACCUGAGUUGCAAGUUAUCAACAAUUCUGAGAAAGAUAUUAUUCUUAAAGUUGAUAAACUUCUGAAUUUGACACUGAAUCAAGAUCAAGAAAAACCUACUUUUGUAGUCCUUUAAUUAAUGGCUUAUAGUGUGUUUGCUUAUAGUGCAUGUUUGAUGAUUUCAGGCAGAGAAGAAAGUAGACACUAUCUUUUUAGGCAAUUCCUGUUAAGUGGUACUGAAACAACUUCAGUUUCACUUGAGGUAAAAAGGAAAAUAGAACCUUAUAAAUUUUCUCCAUGUUGAAGUCUAAGCCAGUUGAGCUUAUAUAUGGUAAAAACCCAAAGAGUCUAUGAGAAGAGGAAAGAAAGGCGAACAUAACAUAACAAAUGAUUUUUCAAAGAUUCUCUUCUUCUUGUGUUCUUCUCAUUCUUGACCUUAUUUGUAUUCUUGAUUAUAAAUCACAGAAAGUUUACAUUUAAAAAAUUAUUGGAUUUUCAUUUUUAA
Brassica napus (rape) is the source of this 1569-nucleotide long non-coding RNA. RefSeq lists it as uncharacterized. The record is from RefSeq and is a predicted model, not a curated record. NCBI's taxonomy places the organism in Eukaryota, Viridiplantae, Streptophyta, Magnoliopsida, Brassicales, Brassicaceae. The transcript has 5 exons.